This 465-nucleotide ribosomal RNA is filed under the name uncultured bacterium. Its description in RNAcentral is "partial 16S ribosomal RNA". It matches the Rfam family "Bacterial small subunit ribosomal RNA", at positions 28 to 504 of the family's 1533-position model. The record is from RNAcentral.
GACGAACGCUGGCGGCGUGCUUAACACAUGCAAGUCGAACGGAAAGGCCCUGCUUUUGUGGGGUGCUCGAGUGGCGAACGGGUGAGUAACACGUGAGUAACCUGCCCUUGACUUUGGGAUAACUUCAGGAAACUGGGGCUAAUACCGGAUAGGAGCUCCUGCUGCAUGGUGGGGGUUGGAAAGUUUCGGCGGUUGGGGAUGGACUCGCGGCUUAUCAGCUUGUUGGUGGGGUAGUGGCUUACCAAGGCUUUGACGGGUAGCCGGCCUGAGAGGGUGACCGGCCACAUUGGGACUGAGAUACGGCCCAGACUCCUACGGGAGGCAGCAGUGGGGAAUAUUGCACAAUGGGCGGAAGCCUGAUGCAGCAACGCCGCGUGCGGGAUGACGGCCUUCGGGUUGUAAACCGCUUUCGCCUGUGACGAAGCGUGAGUGACGGUAAUGGGUAAAGAAGCAUCGGCUAACUAC